GAGGGGGCAAACGUUGUUCGGAAUUACUGGGCGUAAAGGGCGCGUAGGCGGCCUGUUAAGUCGAACGUGAAAUCCCCGGGCUCAACCCGGGAACUGCGUCCGAAACUGGCAGGCUUGAAUCCGGGAGAGGGAUGUGGAAUUCCAGGUGUAGCGGUGAAAUGCGUAGAUAUCUGGAGGAACAUCGGUGGCGAAGGCGACAUCCUGGACCGGUAUUGACGCUGAGGCGCGAAAGCCAGGGGAGCAAACGGG
This 249-nucleotide ribosomal RNA is filed under the name uncultured bacterium. Its description in RNAcentral is "partial 16S ribosomal RNA". It matches the Rfam family "Bacterial small subunit ribosomal RNA", at positions 528 to 776 of the family's 1533-position model. The record is from RNAcentral.